RNAcentral lists this ribosomal RNA (256 nucleotides) under uncultured Lactobacillus sp. RNAcentral describes it as "partial 16S ribosomal RNA". It matches the Rfam family "Bacterial small subunit ribosomal RNA", at positions 107 to 354 of the family's 1533-position model. The record is from RNAcentral. Lineage: Bacteria; Bacillati; Bacillota; Bacilli; Lactobacillales; Lactobacillaceae.
UGAGUAACACGUGGGGAACCUGCCCCUAAGUCUGGGAUACCAUUUGGAAACAGGUGCUAAUACCGGAUAAUAAAGCAGAUCGCAUGAUCAGCUUUUGAAAGGCGGCGUAAGCUGUCGCUAAGGGAUGGCCCCGCGGUGCAUUAGCUAGUUGGUAAGGUAACGGCUUACCAAGGCGACGAUGCAUAGCCGAGUUGAGAGACUGAUCGGCCACAUUGGGACUGAGACACGGCCCAAACUCCUACGGGAGGCAGCAGGU